Rattus norvegicus (Norway rat) is the source of this 481-nucleotide non-coding RNA. The record is from RefSeq and is a predicted model, not a curated record. Lineage: Eukaryota; Metazoa; Chordata; Mammalia; Rodentia; Muridae.
AGCAAGUGCUGUCACAACAACACUUAUGACCUCACAGAAGGAGCUAGAGCUCUCAAGGUUACAAGAGAUUUUUCAGGGAGGGACUAAUGAUGGUGUCACUGAGAACCUCCAUAUCCUACCUGCUGAACAGCUUUGCUUUCAUUGACCAAUUUUGAGAGUGCCUUUUCCAGGUUGAUGUUGCGUGCUGGCUUGCUGUCCAUUGCUUCCAUUAUGUUUCUGCAUAGGACUGACAGGAGGGUAGCAUUAUUUUCCUCUGGAAGGCACAAUGGAGCAGCCGACUGAAACAGCUGCACAGAUGCACGGCCAAACAUUGGAUGGAGCUCAGUGAGUUCCACUGGAGAGCUGAGGGAAGGGCUGGAGAAGCAGAGGAGCUUAACGGGUUUCACGAUAUUCCAUGACAAAACCAAAUUUACACAGUAUCGUUCCACAUAUCCAGUCCUACAAAGGAUAAUCAAUGGCAAAGUCCAACACAUUGUGGCAA